CACAAAACUAGCCAGUACAAGUGACC
This 26-nucleotide unclassified non-coding RNA is filed under the name Mus musculus (house mouse). RNAcentral describes it as "oocyte_clustered_small_RNA6685". Lineage: Eukaryota; Metazoa; Chordata; Mammalia; Rodentia; Muridae. The record is from RNAcentral.